GUGCUCACUUUGGCAGCACAUAUACUAAAAUUGGAACAAUACAGAGAAGAUUAGCAAGGCCCCUGAGCAAGGAUGACAUGCAAAUUCGUGAAGUGCAUCAUAUUUUA
RNAcentral lists this small nuclear RNA (107 nucleotides) under Sciurus vulgaris (Eurasian red squirrel). Lineage: Eukaryota; Metazoa; Chordata; Mammalia; Rodentia; Sciuridae. The record is from RNAcentral.